GGAUGUGAGGGCGAUCUGGCUGCGACAUCUGUCACCCCAUUGAUCACCAGGGUUGAUUCAGCUGAUCUGGCUGGCUAGGCGGGUGUCCCCUUCCUCCCUUACCGCUCCAUGUGCGUCCCUCCCGAAGCUGCGUGUUUGGUCGAAGAGGACGACCUUCCCCAGUAGAGGAGAGGACCGUUCUUCGGUCAAGGGUAUAGCAAGGUAGCGCAACCUCCAGACAAGCUCUAAUAGCAUAAACUUAUUUGUAUAUUUCUCACUUAAAACUUAUAUUUAAAAAACUCAGGUAGAAAUAAGGAGGCAUUU
RNAcentral lists this small nuclear RNA (303 nucleotides) under Neogale vison (American mink). RNAcentral describes it as "Neovison vison (American mink) 7SK RNA (ENSNVIG00000000763.1)". It matches the Rfam family "7SK RNA". From Rfam's summary of the family: 7SK was discovered as an abundant small nuclear RNA in the mid-70s but a possible function has only recently been suggested. Two independent studies have found that 7SK RNA binds the CDK9/cyclin T complex (known as elongation factor P-TEFb). The record is from RNAcentral. Lineage: Eukaryota; Metazoa; Chordata; Mammalia; Carnivora; Mustelidae.